Molecule: unclassified non-coding RNA, 379 nt
Filed under: uncultured Rhodospirillales bacterium
Lineage: Bacteria; Pseudomonadati; Pseudomonadota; Alphaproteobacteria; Rhodospirillales
Description: contains 16S-23S intergenic spacer region
Source: RNAcentral
UCCGCGUUAUCCGCGGCGGUUCCUUCAGAGUGCCCAACUUAAUGCUGGCAACUGAAGGCGAGGGUUGCGCUCGUUGCGGGACUUAACCCAACAUCUCACGACACGAGCUGACGACAGCCAUGCAACACCUGUAUCCGGUCCAACUAAAUGACUCCCCCUUUUCGGGAGGAUAUAACCGGUAUGUCAAGCCUAGGUAAGGUUCUUCGCGUAGCAUCGAAUUAAAGGACAUGCUCCACCACUUGUGCGGGUCCCCGUCAAUUCCUUUGAGUUUUAACCUUGCGGCCGUACUCCCCAGGCGGCAUGCUUACCGCGUUUGCUGAGCCACCGAGUUCUGUAGCGAACCCGACAGCGAGCAUGCAUCGUUUACGGCGUGGACUAC